GUCUAUGGCCAUGCCACCCCGAACAUGCCCAAUCUUGUCUGAUCUCGGAAGCUAAGCUAGUUAGCUUAGCUGGUUAGUACUUGGAUGGAAGACCACCUAGGAAGACCAGGUGCUGUUGGCG
Molecule: ribosomal RNA, 121 nt
Organism: Pteropus vampyrus (large flying fox)
Lineage: Eukaryota; Metazoa; Chordata; Mammalia; Chiroptera; Pteropodidae
Source: Ensembl